UGCAGAGGGGGCAAGCGUUGUUCGGAAUUACUGGGCGUAAAGGGCGCGUAGGCGGCCUUCUAAGUCGAACGUGAAAUCCCCGGGCUCAACCCGGGAACUGCGUCCGAGACUGGAAGGCUUGAAUCCGGGAGAGGGAAGUGGAAUUCCCGGUGUAGUGGUGAAAUGCGUAGAUAUCGGGAGGAACACCAGUGGCGAAGGCGACUUCCUGGCCUGUUCUUGACGCUGAGGCGCGAAAGCUAGGGUAGCAAACGGG
RNAcentral lists this ribosomal RNA (253 nucleotides) under uncultured bacterium. RNAcentral describes it as "partial 16S ribosomal RNA". It matches the Rfam family "Bacterial small subunit ribosomal RNA", at positions 524 to 776 of the family's 1533-position model. The record is from RNAcentral.